GACGAACGCUGGCGGCGUGCUUAACACAUGCAAGUCGAACGAUGAAGCAAAGAAUUGAAGCUUCGGCAGAAAUUCAUUUCGGAUUAGUGGCAGACGGGUGAGUAACGCGUGAGCAACCUACCUCUUACAAAGGGAUAGCCUCGGGAAACCGGGAUUAAUACCAUAUAACAUUGCGACGAAGCAUUUCGAUGCAAUCAAAGCUACGGCGGUAAGAGAUGGGCUCGCGUCCCAUUAACCAGAUGGUGAGGUAACGGCUCACCAUAGUAACGAUGGGUAACCGGCCUGAGAGGGUGAACGGUCACACUGGAACUGAGACACGGUCCAGACUCCUACGGGAGGCAGCAGUGGGGAAUAUUGCACAAUGGAGGGAACUCUGAUGCAGCGACGCCGCGUGAGUGAUGAAGGAAUUCGUUUCGUAAAACUCUGUUCUAUGGGAAGAAAAGGACUGUACCAUAGGAGAAAGCGCCGGCUAAAUACGUG
This 480-nucleotide ribosomal RNA is filed under the name uncultured bacterium. RNAcentral describes it as "partial 16S ribosomal RNA". It matches the Rfam family "Bacterial small subunit ribosomal RNA", at positions 28 to 507 of the family's 1533-position model. The record is from RNAcentral.